AAAACGGUGGCUUUCGCCACCACCAACCCAUGAUAUACUGUGUUU
Monoraphidium neglectum is the source of this 45-nucleotide non-coding RNA. The record is from Rfam. Lineage: Eukaryota; Viridiplantae; Chlorophyta; Chlorophyceae; Sphaeropleales; Selenastraceae.